Molecule: small nuclear RNA, 183 nt
Filed under: Zea mays
Lineage: Eukaryota; Viridiplantae; Streptophyta; Magnoliopsida; Poales; Poaceae
Description: U2 spliceosomal RNA
Rfam family: U2 spliceosomal RNA
About the family: U2 is a small nuclear RNA (snRNA) component of the spliceosome (involved in pre-mRNA splicing). Complementary binding between U2 snRNA (in an area lying towards the 5' end but 3' to hairpin I) and the branchpoint sequence (BPS) of the intron results the bulging out of an unpaired adenosine, on the BPS, which initiates a nucleophilic attack at the intronic 5' splice site, thus starting the first of two transesterification reactions that mediate splicing.
Source: Rfam by way of RNAcentral
AUAUCUUUCUUGUCCCUUUGAUUAAGAUAAAGUGUAAUAUUUAUUCUUAUCAGUCUAAUAUCUAAUUUAUGGAUAAUAUGUUCAUUUUGAUAUUAAAUUUAAUUUUGGUAUGAAAUCGCGACGUACGUGUAGUACUACGAUAAAACACAAUUUUCACCAACGCGCGUCACGCGUGAAGCGCCC